AAGCCUUUGGACCGGCCCUGAGGAGCACUGGAUGAAGUCACCAGCAUGUAGACGGACAGCAGGGGAGAGAGACAGAGACCAAGCAGGGGCACACAGACUUCUGAGCAGACAGAUGUCUCCACAGGACAAAUGUGAAAUAAUCUACCGUAUCAGAGGGAACGGUAACCUGUGGCCGGAUAGAAGCCGAUCUUUGGAACAAGUUUGGUCCAUCAGACACUAAGAUUUGGCCGCCCAUCUGUGGCUUGCUAAUUGUUUAUCUACUUCCUUCUAGAAUGUGCUGCCCGCGAGCACAAGCCUCUUGCCUCCCUUUACCGCUGGCCCCCUCCGCACCAGAAUGGUGCCAACACUCAGAAAAUAUUGGACAUAGUCCAGCAAUUUUCCAGAAGGGCCGAGCGCCGCUGCAGACGGGUGAUUUCCCCAUGACUCAGCCCGACAGCGUUUCCUGUAGCGAGCGGAGCUGGCAGGAGCACAUGAUCAGCGUCAGUGCAUUGCCCCUCGGAGAUGAACUCACCCUUCUGUGAAUUCUGUUCUGGCCCGUCUGCUGGAUGCCUUCAAGCAUCUCCUUCCAGUGAGCGCUGUGUUAAGCUUUCUCAGCAGAGGGCGCCGGAGGGACACGGAGAAGGAAGCGGCUUUCUGCUGCUUGCAGUGUCCAAGUGGUCCUGGCACUGUGAGGAGGCUGCCACCCCCGGGGCAGGGACCCGUGCCCCUGGGGGUGACCUACAGCUUACCCAGCAGCUCCGGCGGCUCUGGCCUGGGCACACCAGCAAACUUCCUGCUGCCCAGUGGCUGAACCGCACCUUCUCCCGCCAGAUCUGAACUCCCGCGUCCGCCCUUCUGUGGUGUUUCCUUGUGACUUACUCUCUUACCAUGGGCCACUGUUCUUUAUAUUAAAUUCGCCCUGUUUUGCCCA
Molecule: long non-coding RNA, 910 nt
Organism: Suricata suricatta (meerkat)
Lineage: Eukaryota; Metazoa; Chordata; Mammalia; Carnivora; Herpestidae
Exons: 3
Source: RefSeq, a predicted model, not a curated record